Molecule: non-coding RNA, 848 nt
Organism: Camelina sativa (false flax)
Lineage: Eukaryota; Viridiplantae; Streptophyta; Magnoliopsida; Brassicales; Brassicaceae
Source: RefSeq, a predicted model, not a curated record
UAAAUUUUUAGGAACGUUUUCUAAGAAAGACAAUUUAUUUUUUUCCCUUUUUCUCUUUCAAAAACCUAAUCCCCGCCGCCAAGAUCUAAUUCUAAAUAUCACUGUUUACGGUGGCCCUAUAUGACGUUGAUUCGACUGGUCUGUUUCUUUGGAAGUCGAAUCCAAUCUUUGGAGGUGGUUCAACGGAAUUAGGAUCGGUCCAAAUCCCAGCUAUCUCUCUGUUUAAGUGAAUCUGAUUCUCUCUAGCCUUUGGUUCAGCUUCGGUGUGAAGUCAUCUCGACGGGAGAACAUAAAAGAUUAUCGUCCACUAUCUAAAGAAGAUGUUAUCGGGGCCAUGUUACCUCUCCCAGCAGAUGAAGAGUUCUUCCUCCCCGUACCUUUAAAUAAGUUCUUCAACUGGAGCAUAUCAGCAGGUAUAACCUUGUGUCUUCCCCUGGAUUGGCUUAAGCACUUCUCAAGAGGUAUUGGGUUGAGUUUCAAUUGAACAUUUAGCGGUAUAGAAGGGGUUGGUUUCUUCUUCCUUUGGCUGGUGCUCUUCUUCAUCUCGGUUCUACAAUUUCCUUGCUAAUCUGUUUGGCUGCAAUUUACCCAUUCACUCUCAAGUGCGUUUGUUUGUUGUUUGUUCUCGGACUCUUCUUCAUCUGCGGAAGAAGAUUUCAUGCGUCGUUGUCUUCCUGUCUUGGAGUCCUAGACUGAUUUGGUUUUUAGAGAUGAAUUUUUAUUAGCUUUGCAGUGUUUGUUGGGUUUGGUUUAAUAUUUAGUUUGUAAGAUUUCUUUGGUUGUUUAAGUUUCUGGGGGUUUCUCUGUAUCCGCCGGCUCUACCUCCAAAUGAAUUUUGAUCCUUUUCA